This 428-nucleotide ribosomal RNA is filed under the name uncultured bacterium. RNAcentral's name for it is "bacterial SSU rRNA". It matches the Rfam family "Bacterial small subunit ribosomal RNA", at positions 355 to 775 of the family's 1533-position model. The record is from RNAcentral.
UAGGGAAUCUUCCACAAUGGACGAAAGUCUGAUGGAGCAAUGCCGCGUGAGCGAAGAAGGUUUUCGGAUCGUAAAGCUCUGUUGUAAGGGAAGAACAAGUACGGGAGUAACUGCCCGUGCCAUGACGGUACCUUAUUAGAAAGCCACGGCUAACUACGUGCCAGCAGCCGCGGUAAUACGUAGGUGGCAAGCGUUGUCCGGAAUUAUUGGGCGUAAAGCGCGCGCAGGCGGUUCUUUAAGUCUGAUGUGAAAGCCCACGGCUCAACCGUGGAGGGUCAUUGGAAACUGGGGAACUUGAGUACAGAAGAGGAAAGCGGAAUUCCACGUGUAGCGGUGAAAUGCGUAGAGAUGUGGAGGAACACCAGUGGCGAAGGCGGCUUUCUGGUCUGUAACUGACGCUGAGGCGCGAAAGCGUGGGGAGCAAACAG